UAUUAUGGAGAGUUUGAUCCUGGCUCAGAGUGAACGCUGGCGGCGUGCCUAAUACAUGCAAGUCGAACGAUGAAGCUU
RNAcentral lists this ribosomal RNA (78 nucleotides) under Campylobacter jejuni. Its description in RNAcentral is "partial 16S ribosomal RNA". It matches the Rfam family "Bacterial small subunit ribosomal RNA", at positions 1 to 77 of the family's 1533-position model. The record is from RNAcentral. Lineage: Bacteria; Pseudomonadati; Campylobacterota; Epsilonproteobacteria; Campylobacterales; Campylobacteraceae.